RNAcentral lists this transfer RNA (69 nucleotides) under Phyllomedusa bahiana. RNAcentral's name for it is "tRNA-Asp". It matches the Rfam family "tRNA". From Rfam's summary of the family: Transfer RNA (tRNA) molecules are approximately 80 nucleotides in length. The record is from RNAcentral. Lineage: Eukaryota; Metazoa; Chordata; Amphibia; Anura; Hylidae.
GAGGAAUUAGUUAAAUUAUAACACCACCUUGUCAAGGUGAAGUAAUAAGCUAAACCCUUAUAUUCCUCU